GUUGUGGAUUAUGAAUAAUAAAAUCAGAGCGGUCCCAUGGCAGCUUUGCUCCGAGGUGGGCUCCAGCCUGACCCACAGUCGUAGAAAAGGAAGCUGUACAUUUCCAGGGCUCCAAGUAAACACAGCCUGUUCAGGCCAUCUGGCGGCCUGGAUUCUGCAAGAGGUGGGAGUAGAGGGGAGAAAGAGAGACAAGUUGCCCUGGGGUGUGGAGAGCAGCUGCCCUGCUCGUUGCUGGCUGCUGCCAGGAGCCAUUCAGUAUUGGGGAAGAGAGGAUACUGGGAGGAAAACCAGGACAGGUGAGCACUCUGUGGGGUGGGGUGCAGCAUGCCUAUAAUGGAAGACUGAGGCAGGAGGACCACUCUGAGUUUGAGGCCCGCUUGCAUCACACAGUGAGUUUCAUGCCAGCCAAGGUUACAUAAGACCUCAUGUUAAACAAUAACAAUGAGAAGCCUGGCACUGAAGGUAGAGAACAGUGCCUCCUCUUCCUCUCAUUGGUCCCCCAAAGGUUGUAUGGUUCGAGAUGGUGUUUCAGGAAGAGGCUAUUCACUCAAAAUAAGGAAAAAGAAAGAAAGGAUUAAGAAUCAACAGGCCAGUCCUGCAAGCAGAGGGAUUUGUAGACCCAGCCCGGUUCCACAGCUUGUGAGUCUGCAGAUGACUGCCAUCUGAGGGAUCCACAGGAUUGUCCUCACAGUUCCAUGGAGGCUAAGUGGAGUCUUAGUGAUGACAGGUGACAAGUUCACAGUGCUGUGUGCUGUCUGAUCCACACCACUGGGAGAAGAUAGGUCCCUGGGAGUGGACGGCAGCUGUGAGCACCCUGGGCAUGGAAUGUAAGUUUUGAGAACUUACGCUUACAGAGGUAAACAGGCCUCCUGUUUUUCCUAUAACUGUCUUAGGGUCUCAGUGGCCCUCAGUCUCUUUCCCUCUGCCUCUCACUUACUCAACCUUGAUGCUACAACCCAGGAAAACCUUUAAGAAGCCCAGGAUCAGAAAGAUGGCUCAGCAUGUAAAGGCACUCACUGCUAAGCCUGGAGAUGUCAGUUUGACCCUGGGAACCCACAAGGUGGAAAGACACUCAACUCCUGAAGGCUAUCCUAUGGGCUCUAUAUCUAAACCAUGGUAUGGGGAACCCUCUCACAUUAAUAAUAAAUCAGAAUAAAAAAUGGUGGCUGGGGCUGGAUAGAUGACUUAGCAGUUAAGAGCACUGGAUGCAGUUCCAGGAGAGUGGGAUUUGAUUCCCAGAAUCCCCCUGGGGGCUUAGAACUGUCUAUAAACUCCAGUUCCCAUGGAUCCGAUGCCUUCUUCCAGCCUUCUCAGGCAUCAAGCAUCCGCAAGGUACACAGACAUAUGCAAAGGAAAAGUACUCGGACUUGUCUAAAAGAGAAACAGGACCAACCAGGGCCUCUUCUCCUUAAUAUCACCAAAGCAAGGAAGAACUCUCCCCUGCCCCCUGCCCCCUGCCCCAGCCUCCCUUGCUAAAGCCAGAGCAAGGGUUUUGAAGUCUAAGAAGUUCAUGGUGAAUGGCUGCCAUAGCCACAUGCUGACCCAUCAUCCAUUGUCCAGCAGCGCAGUCAUCCUGGGAGAAUGUCCUCUGAUGAAACCAGGUUGAUCAUGGACCAUCAUCAGCCUCCCUGGCUAUGGAGUCAGUCACAGAAAAGACCGAAGUGCCAUGCUGGUGGUCCUCACGGAAGUCAGGGUUAAGAGCUUGAACAGACUUGGAGGGAGCUGUGUGUGGUUGGUGUUGAGCAACACCUCCCAGCUGGACUGAAAGAGGGCGUGUGCUCAACUGGCUCCUCACCAGCGGGACUUUGGGUGUUGCCAGCAAAAGGGGGACGAUCCAAACUCAGCCCCGGAGGCUAGUUCUAAAUAUGUAUAUAUUUUUUCACAAUAAAAAAAAUUGUAGGUGAAAACUGUCUAAGUAGGUUUGAAAAGAAGGCUAUUGAAAAGGGAAGGCAGAGCCAAGUGUGAUAAGCUGUACACCUAAACUCCCAGUACCAUGGAAGCUCUGAAGUCCCAGCAAAUUCCUGUAAGGCCACAGGGGCUAAACAUUACAGCCCAGCACACUUAUUUCGCAUAAUAAACCCCUCCUCCUGGAUUCUUCAAGGCAAGAUCUCUCUGUGGAACAAUUCUGGAUGUCCUGGAACUCACUUUGUAGACCAGGCUGGCCUUGAACUCACAGAGAUCUGCCUGCCUCUGCCCCCUAACUAAAGGCAUGUGCCACCAUGCCUGGCAAAAAUCAUUUCUCAAUAACAAUAGAGGGACACCGGACAAGAAUGGUCACAGGCAUCUCCUGUUCCGUGUGAUGAUGCUGAGACCCAAGACUGAAGCAACGAGACCUUAGGAGUGUCGGAACCAGGGAUGAGGGUGGCGACCAAGAGUUCUGGGUCCCUGAAGCUUUCAGAAAGGCAUGCCUACUCUAAGUGCAGUAAGAAAGUGAAGGCCUGGUGUGGAGGCACACGCCUGUGAUUGUGGACACGAGGGGGUCAGGACAACUUCGAGGAGUGGGCUUCUCUCCUUCCUACUUUACAUGGACUCUGGGGCCCAAACUCAUGUUACCAGGACAUGCCGAGCCAUCUUACAGCAGGCCUCUAUGACUUAAAAAAAAAUUACAUUUAUUUUUUUACAUUUAUUUUACAUGCCAAAGCUGUUGCGGAAGUCAGAGGACAUAGAGUCAUUUUUACAUGUUGAGCCAUUUUGUGGGUCGCUCUAUGACUUUUUAAAAACCUGUCUUCUCAUAUAUUGUAUCUACGAUCUACACAGAUUAAGAUAAGAGGUGGGGUCAGGGCACAGUGGUGCACUCCUUUAAUCCCAGCAUUUGGGAAGCAAAGGUCAGUGGAUCUCUGAGUUCCAGGCCAGCCUGGUGUACACAGUGAUACCCUGUCUGGGUUUUUUCAUUUGUUUGAUUGUUUGAGUGUGAGUGUUUUGCCUGCAUGUAUAUAUAUGUGUACCAUGUGUAUGCCUGGUGCCUGCAGAAACCGGAAGAAGGCAUUGGAUCCCCUGAAACUAGAGUACAGAUAAUUGAGAUCUGGGUGCUGGCAACCGAGCCCAGGUACUCUGCAAGAACAAAAAGUACUCUUUACUGCUGAGCCAUCUCUUCAGUCCCGAAACCAUGUCUAGAAGAAGAGGAAGAAGAGGAGGAGGAGGAGGAGGAGGAGGAGGAGGAGGAGGAGGAGGAGGAGGAGGAGGAAGAAGAAGAAGAAGAAGAAGAAGAAGAAGAAGAAGAAGAAGAAGAAGAAGAAGAAGAAGAAGAAAGGAGGAGGAGGAGGAAGAAGAGGAGAAGGAAGAGGGAGAGAGGGGGAGGAAGAAGCUGGGGGUGUGGUCCAGUGACAGUGUCUAACAAGUACAAAACCCUGGCUUCAAUCCCUAGUACCAGAGAAACUGGACGUAGUGGCAAAUUUCUAUAAUCCCAGCACUUGGGAAGUAAAGGCAGGAGGGUCAGAAGUUCAAGGCCACCCUCAUCACUCACUGCAUAGCAAGCUUCAGUCUAACUUAACGUCCAUGAGAUCCUGUCUCAAAAUGACAAGCACUCCCCCCACACUGUUGAUCAUGAAUGCUGUGUCUGAUAGAGCUCCACCUUCCUGCCCCCAUUGUUAGGUCACUUGCUUUUAUUUGUAGUUGCUUUGGGGGGACUCUCCCCAAGCCAGAAAGUAAACUCUAGGGCGAUCCAGACCCUUUGUGCUUUGUUGACCAGAGUGCUUGGCAUAGCAGGCUCUUCAUAGACACAGACUUUCCUGAGGGCUGAUUGCAGGCUGUCUAAUCAUAGGUGAGUAGUCAUGAGAACGCUGAGAUUUCAGGGCACAAAGCAACCUCAAAGGACACACCCGUCAUCCGCAGUGCUGCAUGGCAAGGGGCAGGGGGCCCGUGAGACUCGGAGGCGAAACGAUAGACCCAGGGUCACUUGGACUUCUAGAAUACCGGUGCACUUUUUAUUAAAGAAGAGAAUAAAGCAUUUGUAAAUAUAUUUCUCUCAUGUAUACUUCAAAGGUGACGCUGAUCGGCUGCUACAGAACUGGGGAAGUGAACAGGCCUGAAUUCCUCCCCAUCCCCAGAUGACAGGGACACACAGAGGGUCUGGAGGUGCCCAGCCCCAAAGGACAAAAGGUUCCAAGUCGUGUGAACAGAAGGAUCCAGCUGCCAACUGGCAUCCCAGUGCCACCUGGAACAGCGUAGCCUCUCCAGGGAUGUCAGACAUGCUUGAUAAGAAAGCCCCUUUACCCAUUAGAAGGAGGUAAGGCAUGACGGUUCCUCCUGGGCUCCCAGCACUGAGACCACAGUCACUGCCUCCUGCCGGAUUGUAUGGCUCCUUUGAUUUCUAGAAUCUUGAGAAGGGUGGCGGAAGGAACCAGAAGUCCUGAAGGACUGCUGAGGGCAAGCUGGAGCCCUGGGCAUGUCUUAAGUGAUGCUUGACUUUCUGAAGUUUUAGACUAAAAUACUGAACCCUUGACCCAGGUGGGGCCUCAAAAGUCAUCCCCAUAGAGGCGGGAGGUAAAGAAGAGGCAUUCUGUAGAAAGGUGGAAGAGGAGACAGUUCUUCCUCAACUUAAGAACACAACGCAACAUGAGGGCCCGGCAGUGGUAGAUCACACCUUUAAUCCCAGCACUUGGGAGGCAGAGGCAGGAGGAUCUGAGUUGGAGACCAGCCUGGUCCACAGAGUGAGUUCCAGGCCAGCCAGGGCUACACAGAGAAUCCCUGUCUCAAAAAAACAAAACAAAACAAAGCAAAACAAAAAAACAGAUCAAAGCCCAACCAAACAAAACAAGUAAGGGUCCUACAGUCCCUGGUGAAGGACAGGCAUGAACACUUGGACCUGGGUUGGUGACACUCCUACAGGACAUUCUGAAGGCUGCAGAUGUGAACUGUCCCUGGGUGGCCUGAGGAAGAGAGGACUGGAUGAGACAUCAUGGUCCCUGAGAUGGGGGCAGGCGCAGAGAAAGGAAUGAAAGCAAAGGUGGUUUGCAGGCUUGGGGAGGGAGGAAGGGGUGAAACUCCCUACCAUCCCGGCCCCUGGAAGGCUUCAUGCCUAGAGGAUAACUCCAGGAAUGGAACUUGGCUCUGAGAGGAAAGGGACACUACCCGUGUAUGGCUGUUGUGGGGUUCUCUCUUCCUCUAUUCAGACUGGCUAUAGAUCUGUGGUGAGCAGAAGCCCUUUGCCAGGGCUGGAGGGGAUACACUCGAGCCUGGCUAAACUUCCUGCUCUGCAAGGUGGGGGCUAUCUGUGGCCUGCUCAGACCUCUGGGAGUGGUACAGCUGGUGCGAAGGGAAUGACAGUCAUAACUGGCAAGAAGCAGUGAGUGGUCUGGGAGACUCCAGACACCAGCAAUGGCUGGCUCUGAGGUCCCCUUUCAAGUGUUUCCAGUUGUGACAAGGCUUCAGGAGGCCUUGCAUUGCAAAUCUCUCAGAAAAAAAAAAAAAAAAAA
This is a long non-coding RNA of Mus musculus (house mouse), 5414 nucleotides long. RefSeq annotates it as predicted gene, 32013. The transcript is spliced from 2 exons. The record is from RefSeq and is a predicted model, not a curated record. NCBI's taxonomy places the organism in Eukaryota, Metazoa, Chordata, Mammalia, Rodentia, Muridae.